UCCAAAGCAAGUUUGAGAAGUCCGAAUUCGCUCCUCGCUCAAAACAAGAGUAUGAUGCUGAAAUGAGAUUGCUCAGUGCGGACAACUUUGCUUCCGACGUAUGCAAGGUGUUUGGGAUUAAGUCAGAAUGUGUAUUGAAUGAGUUGAAGUCAUUCCAUGUGUCGGAGCAAACGCCAGGUGACAUCAGCCAUGAUCUUUUCGAGGGUGUGGCUCUGUAUGCUGUGAACAGUGUCCUGACAUCCUUGUUCGCUCUGAGAGUGGUGGACAAGGACAUGCUUCGAAAAAUGGUUAACGAAUUUCCAUAUCAUAGGACCGACGUGAAUCGCCCUCAAGCACCAGUUGUGACUCACUCCAGUGUCACUGCCCGACAGACUUGCAGCGAGUCAUGGACACUGCUGCGACUGCUCCCCUUGAUGGUGUAUUUUGUGAUGGGGGACCGUGAAAUGUCAGAGGAGUGCGAAAGCAAAAUUGACAUCAUCCGAAAGCUUAUCAAAAUCACUCAAGUGCUGAUGUCUGAAACCGACGACGAGGCUGAUAUCAUCAGGAUGGAAAAAGCUAUAUCAGAUUGGCUGAAGGAGUUCCGGAACCAGUAUCCAGAGUAUCACAUGAAGCCAAAGUUUCAUUAUCUCGUACAUUAUGGAGACCAUAUGCGGAAACAUGGCCCACCCAGGAGGUACGCAACAAUUCGCUUCGAAGCAAAGCAUCAAGAACUCAAAGAGUACCUACGCGUGUCAAAAAACAGACGGAACGUGUGUGCUACUAUGGCAAAAAAACAUCAGGUCACCAUGAGUGUGAAAUCCGCGGAUCCUUCAUUUUUAUGUUCUGGUGUAACCAAUGUGUCAACUUCACAUUACGAUCCCCCCCAGUUGGACUUGGCACAAAUUUUGCCAUCACGCAUGGAGGACGACGUAGUGAAGAGUGCAACUUAUUGCGGCACAAAGUACUGCGCAGGAGAUGUUGUUGUACAAAAAUCAGGAAACGUGAAACUAGUACUCAUUUGUUGUCUGUUGGUGGCCCACGAUCGGGGAAGCUUCCAGUUCAUCGUCGAAGAGUGCGAGGUUGUUCACUAUGACGAGAAACUGCAGGCUUUCCGUGUAGUGCCAAGAAAAUCACAACCUUACAUCAUGCACCUGAAUGACUUGGCUCAUCAUCAGCCCCUGGGGAUGUACCAUAUCAGAGCUAAACAUUUUGUUGUUUUGCGAAAUAUCAUCAAGUGAAAGUAACCACCUGCGCCAAGGAUCACCAAGAUGUUCACUUACGUAGUGUCCUACUCAGCAAGGCCGGACGGAGUGCCUGUGCACCGCAUGGUGACGGUGACAGACAAACGAAGACUGCUGGCUGAGGCUUUGACCUGUUUUGGGCUAAAACGCGACAAAAACUUCGAAAUAGAGGCCGGCGCAUUCUUCUUCGCUUGUCACAGAAGUUGGGCACAGUGCAGCUUCAACGUCGCAGGCCAGCUCGGAGGUGCAGGAGCGAGAGGAGACGGGCGCCGCUAAAUCAUCUGGCCUCCAGCAGACGACUGAAGUUGAAGGAUCCUCUCAUCAAGGACGUCGUGCCGGCGAGGAGCACAGAGUCCUGGAUCUGGGUCUCCUGUCAAGGACCACAAGAGAUCGCCUACAAGCGGGUCAACAGUUGGUUUUCUCAGAGCUGAGUGAAAUCUUCCAGGGAGUAGUGGACACUUUCAGGAAAUGUACUGGGAGUAGGUGAGUCAACAUUUCAUAGUGAAAAGAUAAUUAACCCUAGCCCGUGUUCCAUGUUUUGCCUUAUUCGCAAUCAAAUCAAAUCGUGUCACGUAUAUUAUUACCGCAUGGUUUCGGUCAAAACGCGACGAAUCGCUAAAAUAAAUUAUUUUGGUUGCAAGAUUGAUCCAAUGCUUUGUGUUUCAGUUACCCAAAAAGCUACAUAAG
Molecule: unclassified non-coding RNA, 1907 nt
Filed under: Amphibalanus amphitrite
Lineage: Eukaryota; Metazoa; Arthropoda; Thecostraca; Balanomorpha; Balanidae
Description: uncharacterized LOC122383595, transcript variant X6
Source: RNAcentral